This 253-nucleotide ribosomal RNA is filed under the name uncultured bacterium. RNAcentral describes it as "partial 16S ribosomal RNA". It matches the Rfam family "Bacterial small subunit ribosomal RNA", at positions 524 to 776 of the family's 1533-position model. The record is from RNAcentral.
UACGUAGGUGGCAAGCGUUGUCCGGAAUUAUUGGGCGUAAAGCGCGCGCAGGUGGUUUCUUAAGUCUGAUGUGAAAGCCCCGGGCUCAACCUGGGAGGUGCGCUUGAUACUCGAGGGCUUGAGUGCGGGAGAGGAGAGUGGAAUUCCCAGUGUAGAGGUGAAAUUCGUAGAUAUUGGGAAGAACACCGGUGGCGAAGGCGGCUCUCUGGACCGUAACUGACGCUGAGGCGCGAAAGCGUGGGGAGCAAACAGG